UAGGGAAUCUUCGGCAAUGGACGAAAGUCUGACCGAGCAACGCCGCGUGAGUGAAGAAGGUUUUCGGAUCGUAAAACUCUGUUGUUAGAGAAGAACAAGGACGUUAGUAACUGAACGUCCCCUGACGGUAUCUAACCAGAAAGCCACGGCUAACUACGUGCCAGCAGCCGCGGUAAUACGUAGGUGGCAAGCGUUGUCCGGAUUUAUUGGGCGUAAAGCGAGCGCAGGCGGUUUCUUAAGUCUGAUGUGAAAGCCCCCGGCUCAACCGGGGAGGGUCAUUGGAAACUGGGAGACGUGAGUGCAGAAGAGGAGAGUGGAAGUCCAUGUGUAGCGGUGAAAUGCGUAGAUAUAUGGAGGAACACCAGUGGCGAAGGCGGCUCUCUGGUCUGUAACUGAAGCUGAGGCUCGAAAGCGUGGGGAGCAAACAGG
This 429-nucleotide ribosomal RNA is filed under the name Gemmatimonadota bacterium. RNAcentral describes it as "Gemmatimonadetes bacterium partial 16S ribosomal RNA". It matches the Rfam family "Bacterial small subunit ribosomal RNA", at positions 355 to 776 of the family's 1533-position model. Lineage: Bacteria; Pseudomonadati; Gemmatimonadota. The record is from RNAcentral.